GUCAUAGAGGGUGAGAAUCCCGUACGUGACCGGUUGGCAACCCCAUGUGAAACUCCUUCGACGAGUCGAGUUGUUUGGGAAUGCAGCUCUAAAUGGGUGGUAUAUUUCAUCUAAAGCUAAAUAUUGGCCAGAGACCGAUAGCGCACAAGUAGAGUGAUCGAAAGAUGAAAAGCACUUUGGAAAGAGAGUUAAAAAGUACGUGAAAUUGUUGAAAGGGAAGCGCUUGCAACCAGACUUGCCCGGGGGUGAUCAACUGUCCUUUUGGGCGGUGCACUCUCCCCCGGUCAGGCCAGCAUCGAUUCGGGCGGUGGGACAAAGGUCCCGGGAACGUGGCCCACUUCGGUGGGUGUUAUAGCCCGGGGCGUAAUGCUACCAGCCUGGAUCGAGGACCGCGCUUCGGCUAGGAUGCUGGCGUAAUGGUUGCUAGCGACCCGUCUUGAAACACGGACCAAGGAGUCGACCAACUCUGCGAGUGUUUGGGUGUCAAACCCGUGCGCGUAAUGAAAGUGAACGGAGGUAAGAACCCGCAAGGGCGCAUUAUCGACCGAUCCUGAUGUCUUCGGAUGGAUUUGAGUAAGAGCAAAGUUGGUCGGACCCGAAAGAUGGUGAACUAUGCGUGAAUAGGGUGAAGCCAGAGGAAACUCUGGUGGAGGCUCGCAGCGGUUCUGACGUGCAAAUCGAUCGUCAAAUUUGCGU
RNAcentral lists this ribosomal RNA (696 nucleotides) under Bryodiscus arctoalpinus. RNAcentral describes it as "LSU rRNA". It matches the Rfam family "Eukaryotic large subunit ribosomal RNA", at positions 202 to 916 of the family's 3401-position model. Lineage: Eukaryota; Fungi; Ascomycota; Lecanoromycetes; Ostropales; Odontotremataceae. The record is from RNAcentral.